AAAGGGUGCGUAGGCGGCCUGUUAAGUCAGGGGUGAAAGACGGUAGCUCAACUAUCGCAGUGCCCUUGAUACUGAUGGGCUUGAAUGGACUAGAGGUAGGCGGAAUGAGACAAGUAGCGGUGAAAUGCAUAGAUAUGUCUCAGAACACCGAUUGCGAAGGCAGCUUACUAUGGUCUUAUUGACGCUGAGGCACGAAAGCGUGGGGAUCAAACAGGAUUAGAUACCCGAGU
This 230-nucleotide ribosomal RNA is filed under the name uncultured bacterium. Its description in RNAcentral is "partial 16S ribosomal RNA". It matches the Rfam family "Bacterial small subunit ribosomal RNA", at positions 562 to 791 of the family's 1533-position model. The record is from RNAcentral.